GGUCUGUCUUAGCAGGUGAUGAUCUUAGAGAGGAGCCUGGACCUGGGUCGUUUCAUCACUGCUGUCCAUUUCCAGAACGUCUCCUGUACUGGGGACGUGUGGUUAGAUAAUAAAGAGUUGCCAGUGAAAUGCUUCAGGGGAUGGUUAGAGAAAAAGAAAGAAAUAAACACACACUAUGGGGUGGGGGUGGGGUAACUUUGAUUUUCAGCCUGAGAAGGAAAAAGGGAAAGGAGAAAAAAUAUAGACCGCAUAGCCCAUGCAAAGUGAGCCACGUUGGAUUCUAAACCAAACUGCUUAAAGCAGUAAAAGCUGGUUAAUUCAAACAGCUCUCAACCCAGAGGUAGGACCGUGUGGCACGGGAAGCGGAACAUCAUCAAGCUAGGAUGUGCCCCUGUCCUUACGGAGCCAACAAGCCAAUAGCAGAAUGAAGGUUCAUCAAAGCCCACUCUCUCAGACUCGCCUAAAAAACUGACCAAAUCCCGAAAGGUUUACUUCAUGGCCCAGAACAACCUCUGAUGUCACAAGCACGGAUGAAGAACAGCUAAGGCACAAUGAGUGUGUCAGGAUACCACAACCCAUUCUGGGAUUUUGUAAAGAACCCCAAGGGAGACUCUUACCCUGUCACCUCGAGCGGCACCUCUGAACGCUGGGGCACCCGCAGUGUCCUGCUCUGCCGCCCGAUGCUUCGCCACGCCACUGAGCUCGGCAGAUGCAACGUGCUCUGCAGUCUUGGACCCCUGGCUUCCUUUCUGGCCGGGCUGACUCUACUGUGGGCAUGCAGCCUUCACAGCAAGACUCCGGCCCUGGCUGGCUCCUGCCUCAAAGUCACCCAGGCACCUGGGGCUGCCCCAACAGGAACCCCAUCUAAGGGCCUUUCUCACCCUUUCUUUCCCCACACCCGUUCUCAGGCUAACCACUGCUGCACACCAGCAAUUUCUGCGGCAUCCUCUCUCACCACUGGGCCACUCAUUCCUCCCAGGCAGAUGCUGAAGAGACAUUUGGCUCUGCAGCAGAAUGGCGCACUCCUAUAUUUAGCCACAUUGUGUAAUAUGUGACAAUAAUACUUUGUACUCAGGGUACACCUUUUAUCAGAGGAACUCCAUGCAGUCUGCAAACAUCCCCAGCACAAUACCCCUGGAGUGGAAGGAACCUGCCAAGUGUUGUGAUCUCAGUCUUACGGCUGGAGAGACUGGGUCCCAGGAAGGUGGGGCACGGCCAAGGCUUCCUAAGGAGUCAAGAGCCAGAAAAGGACCAUGGGCUGCUCCCCUAAGAUCUAAGGAUCCCUGGUUACCUCCUGAAUUAUUCCCAUCACCCAAAACUGCCGUCUACUGAUCACGUAUUAUUUGAAGCAAGCACAAUCAUUCUGGGAAGUCGUGAACUACCCCUAAGUUACGUCUUUUCUAAACGUUCCUGAAGUUAAGAAGACUUUCAGCUUGGAGACUUUUGCUGUCUCCUCAAUCACGCUUGGUCAGUGGUGGCGUAUUCAGAACAUGCGUUGAAAAUAAAAAGUCACAUCGCAGCUGCCCGCUGAGGGUGGGCCUCGCAGGGCCACCAGCAGUUCACUGCUUCACUUCAGGCCCCGGAUGUAGAGAAAGCGGAGUAAAGCAACGUCAUCAAGGUUAAGAGUGAAAUUCAGCUCUGAUUUUAGAAGUUCCUAGGGAAAAAAAUCUUGUCU
Equus caballus (horse) is the source of this 1675-nucleotide long non-coding RNA. Lineage: Eukaryota; Metazoa; Chordata; Mammalia; Perissodactyla; Equidae. The record is from Ensembl.